Molecule: non-coding RNA, 3490 nt
Organism: Ictidomys tridecemlineatus (thirteen-lined ground squirrel)
Lineage: Eukaryota; Metazoa; Chordata; Mammalia; Rodentia; Sciuridae
Source: RefSeq, a predicted model, not a curated record
GGAAGUGGGAGCUGAUGAGUGAAAAGAAAAAAAAGUCUUUGGAUCUUUAUUCUGCUAAUUAGUUUCCUGCAAAAAAUGGCUGUGAUUAAUUCAGUGCGCAUGUGCUUCAUUACCCAGGCACGACGGGAAGGGCUAAUUAGCCACCUUCUGGAUCAAUAAGAUUCAGCAAAAAAGAAAAGGGGGAGGUGGAGGGAGGCAGAGGGGAGGAAGGGAGGAAAAAAAAAAAAACCAGGGGAAAGUGAUGAGCAGGGCAAGGAGAGCAGGAAGAGAGGAUGGGAGAAGAGCCUAGGAAGAGGGAGAGAGGCACCAAAAGUUUAUGCAUGUAUUAAAAACACAUACACACACGACACGCGCGCGCACACACACAUACACACACACACACACACACACACACACACACUGAGAAGUGAAAUGCAGAGAAGCAACAAUAGGGACCUAGCUAAGAUUUUUUUUUUUAAGAUUUUUCCUUUCUUUUUUUCUUUCUCUUUUCCUUCUUUCUUGUAAUUUCCUUUCCCCCUCUUUUCUUUUUUCUUUUUUUUUUUAAGCAAAUGCAACAAUGCUUAAAUUAAUAGGAAAAGAACAUCUUCAAAGAAGAGGGGGGUGGGUAAUAAUGGAGUGGGACAGCUUAAAGCAAAGGUUUAAGUGAAAGACCAGAGGCUUAGAAUAGAGGCCACUUUAAAUUGCAAAUCCGUGAUUUUUAAACGGAGGAAAAUUACCUCCCCCCAAACCAGAGGAGGAAUGAAGAAAAUAUGGGAGAAACUUUAACACAUACCAUAGACUAUACAAAAAAAAUAUAAUAUGUUAAUUUUCUCUUCCGAAAUAAGACGCAAUCAAUCUUCUCUGGUUCUUUAGAAGAAGAGGGAAAGAGGGGCGAAGGGGAUGAUGAUUAGAAGAAAUGAAAGGGAGAAAGUGAAUCAGAACUUAAAGGGGGGCCACUUUAGGAAAGACAAGAAAAGGAAAAGUUGCAUUUAGAAACAAGUCCAACUUUCUACCUUUCUGUACUUAAGAAAAAAGUAAAAUCAAUUUUUUUGUGUGUGUGUAAAACCUGGAAAGCAGAUGUUUUCAAAACACAGGAAGCUAUUUUGUCAUCAAAAGCAGGGAUGUAAUAAAGGCAGUGAAAAAUAAUUUCAGACUAAAUUCAUAAGAAAGAAAGCCAAUAUAUUUAAAUAGCGAGGAAAGGUCUAGUGUGUAGAAAGAGGGGAAAUUACAUACCCCUUCCCUAAUGCGGGGGGGAAAAAAGUCUUACAGCUACCUCCAAGAGUUUGGAACAGAGUCUCAAAGCCAAAGGGCUUGAAAUAAGAGGAUGGAUUUCAGAUAAAGACUAGGAGCGAUACAUCCCACCAGAGCCCAAAGGAGAUCCCUGGAAUCAAAGACAGCAGCCAGGGACCCUGCUACUGUACCGAUUCCCAGUACAUCAAAGCCGUCACUUAGGCUGGUGCAUGGUACCUCCAAAAAGCAAGCAAACAAAUGCAGGAAGAACAGUCUCUCUCUCUCUCUCUCUCUCUCUCUCUCUCUCUCUCUCUCUCUCUCUCUCUCUCUCUCUCUCCCCUACUUUCAAAUCCUAGCCUUAGCGUCACUGCUACUGCAAUAGAUUUUUUUUAAUGACAACUGUGUAUUUAUGUAAGUUCUAAAUAUGAACUAGUACCACUGAAAUUACAAUGUCUAGAAUAAAAUAAAAUGCAAUCUGCACUUUUGGUGAUCUUCAAACAAAUGUAAAAACAACAUUUAUGUUUUUGAAAGCAUUGGUAACAUCAGGUAGAGAGGAUGAAUGCGCUAAAACUUAUUUUUAUCGGGGGAAAUUUUUUUUUUUUUUUGCACCAGCCUACCACAAUUACUUAUCUGAGAAGGAAUUUGGGAACUAAUCAGGAAAUCUGUUUGAUUAGAAAGUAAUUCUUCAUUUUGAGAGCUUUUCCAAUGCUCUUAAAAGCAUGCAAGACUAGGGGGAGAAACCGGUUUGGGAUUUUGCAGUUACCUCAUCUAAUCCUUCUGAAUUCACUCUGGGGAUAAUGCUUUUUUAUUUAAGGGGGAAGGGGGGGGGAAGGAAAAUACACUUAGAAAAAUCGGGGGUUUCCUCUCCAUGAGCCAAAUCUGGGUUGCCAUUCAAACUUUUCCUGGCUGCUUUUCCAUACGGGACAGCUGAUCAAUAAAGCCAAGUCCAGCCUGGCUUGCUACAGGUUUCACCAGUCAGUGCUUGCAAAACCUUUGUCAUUUUCUAAAAAUAAAAAAGCUAAAAGUUAUUGUAGAAGAAGGGGCUUUUUUUUGUCCCCUGCACAAUGUGUCUUUUGUGAGGUUAAUGCCAUUCUGGGCUCUCGAUAGCCCUGGACAAUGGGAACCCUCCAGGAGCUUGCAAAGACUCUGGCUUUUUUCUUUCUUGCCUUUUUUUUUUUUUUUUUUUUUUUUUUAAGGGAAGGAUGAAACAUUCCUACAGUCCAAAUACAACCUCUACUUUGAUUAAAUAAAUAUUUAUCUUUAUUGUAGCCAUUGUAUAUUUUUACCUUCAGUUUGUCUGGUUUCUGAUUAUUAUUUUAUAUUUUUCAUUGGCAACAUUUAAUCUUUUUUUUUUUCCCUUUCAGUUCAAAGUACAGGUCAGUGUAAAAUGUAGCUGACUGAAGGAAGACUGGUAAAUUCUGAAUUUUUCCAUAAUACAUCAGCAGUGCUCCGGCUGGCCGGCCGUGCCCCCAGGCUCGCAGCACCCCACAGUCUCGCCCUUUUGUGGUCUCUGCAUGGACUCCAAGGUGCUGCGCUGAGGAAGCUGGCUACUCGCAUUGCCGCGGUCAGAGGCGCCGUUGCCGCUUGCCUCUGAGCGCGCGGGGAGGAAGGGGUUAAGCUGCCCGAGCCGGGCGAAGGGGCUGUGCUCAUCCCAGAGCGAGGUGCAGCCACCGGCAGCUGUGAUUUAGGGGUCAAGUCCGAGAUCACCUUUCUCAUGCCUCUGGAAAUGGCAGAAGAUGAGGUAGGGAGGGAGAAACAGGAGUGAGCAGCAGCCAGGCGCAGCACGUGGCGCUCCAUCCAUCCGACCCCCCCUUGUCCCAGCCCACCCCUUGACCCCCAGACAAAUCAGAUAGUUCCCUUUGCUAUUAGGGGUGUGGGGUGCGGUUCCUCUGAGUGUCCGCAAUUACUCCAUUUACCGCGGCUCUGUUCUAUGGUUAGACCGAUGUGCCCCGACCCUCAACCAUCAAAUCAGAAAGUUUGCUCUCAGUGCGCUAGGGUGUGAGCAGCUGGGUGUGUGUGAAAACUGUCCCCCAUUUAUAAGAAACAGGAGUGCCUCUGUCAGGAGGAGGAAGUUUGGAUGUUGGUGCUAGCCCCUCAUCCUGGAGUCUUGCACCUCACAAUCCUAAACUCAUGUACACAGUGGUGUUCAUUACAUGCAGCUUCUUGCUUUUUAUGCUUAUGUUCUCCUUCAAGAACUUUCUCUCCCCCAACUAAGGCAGUCUGGAAAAUACUUUUGUCAAAAUAUUUUUCAUGUCUGAAAGAUAACCAAAAACCAAAAUCA